RNAcentral lists this long non-coding RNA (317 nucleotides) under Prunus persica (peach). RNAcentral's name for it is "long non-coding RNA (PPER_LNC005523)". Lineage: Eukaryota; Viridiplantae; Streptophyta; Magnoliopsida; Rosales; Rosaceae. The record is from RNAcentral.
AAGAGGUGGCGGUGGAGGUGGUGGUGGAGGAGGAGGAGGAGGUGGAGGAGUUGCUAUUGCAGCUACCUGUGACAACGAGAUAGCUGGUGACAAAGACUUAGGAGGGUGAGUGUACAAUGAAGAGAUGUGAGACAUAGGCGGAGGAGGUGGAGGAGGUGGAGGCGGAGGUGGAGGGGGCACUACUUGUUGUAGGCCAAUAUGUGCUGUUAUAAUAGAGGAAGACUCUGUCUCUUGAAUUGGUGGUAGUGUUGAUGGCAAGCAGGAUGUGAGUGUCUCCGUAAGUGUCUCCGUAAGUGUCUCUGGUGCAGACUUUGAAG